Paramisgurnus dabryanus is the source of this 445-nucleotide non-coding RNA. Lineage: Eukaryota; Metazoa; Chordata; Actinopteri; Cypriniformes; Cobitidae. The record is from RefSeq and is a predicted model, not a curated record.
CUUAUCAUGUUUAGGCGUGCACAUAUGAAGAAUUGGCCAGGGUGCGUCAUGUGGCCUGCCAGACAGUAACACCACCUGUUAGAACAGUUAGCACUCAGCUGUCAAUAACAACUCUACAACCUCACUACCAGAGCAAAGGCAUACAGACACAGUUCUGCCCUGACGUUGGUGUUCACACUGCAUAUCCACUGAUGUCCUCAACACCAGUAAAGAGGGUUAGUAAGGUUAGUAAGAGACCUCGCUUGGAGCUGGAGGAGGAGGAGCAGCAGCAGGACCCUUUGGAAGGCACACCAUUGAAGAACCACUGGAUUCUACAUAUGAUCCUGCAGACUCUAUUUCAUCUUUGACAGAGCCUGUGGAUGUGACAUUGGAAUCUUCCAAGCCGGCUCAUAAGACAGCAACAUACAUUGUGUAUGAAAACUGUCUGCUGGAGCUCUUUUAGAAG